AAACAUGUCUUUUUGAUUUAAAUAUGAAGUCUGACCUGCCCACUGAUUAAAUAAUUGAAGGGCCGCGGUAAAUUAACUGUGCUAAGGUAGCAUAAUCAUUUUCCAAUUAAUUGUUGGAUGGAAUGAAUGGUUUGACGAGAAAUUAACUGUCUUAGGAUUAUUUUUAUGAAUUUUACUUUUUAGUGAAGAGGCUAGAAUAUUAUUAAGGGACGAGAAGACCCUGUAGAUUUUAAAUAUAGUUUUUUUUUGUGUGACUUAUUGAAUAUUUUAAUUGGGGCGAUUUAAAAAGAAGAUUAUCUUUUAAUUAUUAUUUUUCAGAUGUUUUUGUUUUAUUGAUCCAGAAUUUUUGAUUAUAAGAUUAAAAUACCUCAGGGAUAACAGCGUAAUUUUUUUGAGAAGUUCUUAUUUGAAUAAGAGUUUGCGACCUCGAUGUUGAAUUAAAGAUUUACAAUAGGUGUAGCAGCUUAUUUAAUUAGUCUGUUCGACUAAUAGUUCUUUACGUGAUCUC
This 508-nucleotide ribosomal RNA is filed under the name Godzilliognomus schrami. Its description in RNAcentral is "partial large subunit ribosomal RNA". It matches the Rfam family "Bacterial large subunit ribosomal RNA", at positions 1811 to 2607 of the family's 2925-position model. The record is from RNAcentral. Lineage: Eukaryota; Metazoa; Arthropoda; Remipedia; Nectiopoda; Godzilliidae.